This 253-nucleotide ribosomal RNA is filed under the name uncultured bacterium. RNAcentral describes it as "partial 16S ribosomal RNA". It matches the Rfam family "Bacterial small subunit ribosomal RNA", at positions 524 to 776 of the family's 1533-position model. The record is from RNAcentral.
UACAGAGGUCUCAAGCGUUGUUCGGAUUCAUUGGGCGUAAAGGGUGCGUAGGCGGCCAGAUAAGUCCGGUGUGAAAGUCACAGGCUCAACCUGUGAAUGCCGCUGGAAACUGUCUGGCUAGAGUCCGGAAGGGGCGAGUGGAAUUCCUGGUGUAGCGGUGAAAUGCGCAGAUAUCAGGAGGAACACCAAUAGCGAAGGCAGCUCGCUGGGACGGUACUGACGCUGAGGCGCGAAAGCGUGGGGAGCAAACAGG